Pomacea canaliculata is the source of this 478-nucleotide long non-coding RNA. RefSeq lists it as uncharacterized. NCBI's taxonomy places the organism in Eukaryota, Metazoa, Mollusca, Gastropoda, Architaenioglossa, Ampullariidae. The transcript is spliced from 3 exons. The record is from RefSeq and is a predicted model, not a curated record.
GUUUCUUUUUUAGAUGGUCAGAUAAGGUGCGAUGUUUUGUCUGCAAAACUACAUGGUAACACUUCUCUGACCUGUCAUUUUCCUGAAGAUGUCAGUCAAACGAAGAGAGACUUCAGCGUGUCACGAUACUCAGAUAAGAACAAUACAUAUGAGAUUCUGGACUGCUGGUGGAUGUCAGGAAAGGUAGAGUGUAGAAAUGCCCAGGGAUACGAGUAUAACAAAAUAAUAUCUAACAGACUGUCGCUGGAAAUUCUAGAAAUUUCAGCUCCACAAGUCGCUACUUACGCCUGUCAACUCCCUGGAUAUGGACCCCACUCCAUUGUCACCUGUGACCUCAGUGUUGAGCUAGACGGAAUCUCCGAAUGUGAGAUCCUGUCUGUGAAGCUGAAUUCACAAACUGCGCUGACGUGUUACUUUCGUGAGGACCUCAGCAAGACUCGGGUGGAUUUCUCAGUCUCUCACCACUCCAGGCUCGGUG